Molecule: long non-coding RNA, 653 nt
Organism: Varanus komodoensis (Komodo dragon)
Lineage: Eukaryota; Metazoa; Chordata; Lepidosauria; Squamata; Varanidae
Exons: 3
Source: RefSeq, a predicted model, not a curated record
AGAUCCUGGACUGUGCAGAAAUGGAUAGAUUGACUUCAUCAUUGAAGGAGAAGGAAGCUUCAGAAACGACCUGCUGUGCAGAAAUCCAGGCAGGUAGGACCUGGACGUUCCACAUCAGUGCGCAACAGAAUCUAAUGGUUCUGGAGACGACGGUGGCCGUUGUAAUCGAAUGUCAUUGGGAAACCUGUAAUGGCUUCAAAGUUUAAACUUGAGGAAGACAGGCCAUUUCACCAUGGAAAGGAAAAAUAAAAUCAGCUACCCCUGACAGAGAAGAGCCGUUGGGAAAGUUUAACCAUGGAGCAACCGGGACUGAGAUUGUUGUGCUCCUGAAAAGUUCUGUUCUGCCGGCAAUUUGCUCUAUGAGGUGCACGUGACUUACUCGAUGCGUUCAGAAAAUAGACUCCCUACUUCUACAGGCAUUAAACUCCCGGGGGACUCUGUGCCCAGCCAUAGUAAGUAUAUUGACUGCAAGCUUAAUUGGACUAAAUGCUUCAAUUUUCUAAAGGCUUCUUCUAAUAACAAUGGUCUGCAGAAAGUCAAUCAAAACAUAAUUCUCUGCAUUAUCUCCUAAGAGGGAAAAAUACACAAACCUGGAUGGCGUCAGUUCUUUAAUGCAAAUAGAGACACACACUGCGAGCACUCCUUGGUCAGUC